This 492-nucleotide ribosomal RNA is filed under the name uncultured bacterium. RNAcentral's name for it is "partial 16S ribosomal RNA". It matches the Rfam family "Bacterial small subunit ribosomal RNA", at positions 29 to 507 of the family's 1533-position model. The record is from RNAcentral.
AGUGAACGCUGGCGGUAGGCCUAACACAUGCAAGUCGAACGGCAGCACAGUAAGAUCUUGCUCUUACGGGUGGCGAGUGGCGGACGGGUGAGGAAUACAUCGGAAUCUACUUUUUCGUGGGGGAUAACGUAGGGAAACUUACGCUAAUACCGCAUACGACCUACGGGUGAAAGCAGGGGAUCUUCGGACCUUGCGCGAUUGGAUGAGCCGAUGUCGGAUUAGCUAGUUGGCGGGGUAAAGGCCCACCAAGGCGACGAUCCGUAGCUGGUCUGAGAGGAUGAUCAGCCACACUGGAACUGAGACACGGUCCAGACUCCUACGGGAGGCAGCAGUGGGGAAUAUUGGACAAUGGGCGCAAGCCUGAUCCAGCCAUACCGCGUGGGUGAAGAAGGCCUUCGGGUUGUAAAGCCCUUUUGUUGGGAAAGAAAAGCAGCAGGUUAAUACCCCGCUGUUCUGACGGUACCCAAAGAAUAAGCACCGGCUAACUUCGUG